RNAcentral lists this ribosomal RNA (301 nucleotides) under uncultured bacterium. RNAcentral describes it as "partial 16S ribosomal RNA". It matches the Rfam family "Bacterial small subunit ribosomal RNA", at positions 509 to 807 of the family's 1533-position model. The record is from RNAcentral.
CAGUAGCCACGGGAAUACGAAGGGGGCUAGCGUUGCUCGGAAUGACUGGGCGUAAAGGGCGCGUAGGCGGUUUAUACAGUCAGAUGUGAAAUUCCUGGGCUCAACCUGGGGACUGCAUUUGAUACGUAUGGACUUGAGUGGAGAAGAGGGUCGUGGAAUUUCCAGUGUAGAGGUGAAAUUCGUAGAUAUUGGAAAGAACACCGGUGGCGAAGGCGGCGACCUGGUCUUUAACUGACGCUGAGGCGCGAAAGCGUGGGGAGCAAACAGGAUUAGAUACCCGAGUAGUCCCUGUCUCUUAUAC